UGAAUAUAUCCUGGAGACCAUCGACUCGCUGCAGAAAACUCCUGGGUUGCUGACAUCCAGGACUGCAUGGACCCUGGGGACAGUGGAGAUGACAUUGAGCUGGCGUCAUGUCCCCACGGCCAGAGCGUCUAAAGAGUUUCUCCAUGGUGUCCUCCUGCAGCUGUGAGCUUCUGUCAGAGGGUGUUCAUCGUACCCCUGAGAGAUCCUGUGGAUCAGCAACAACAGAACUGUAUAGCGCCCCCUCUGGCCGCUGCAGAGAAC
This is a long non-coding RNA of Salvelinus sp. IW2-2015, 261 nucleotides long. RefSeq lists it as uncharacterized. NCBI's taxonomy places the organism in Eukaryota, Metazoa, Chordata, Actinopteri, Salmoniformes, Salmonidae. The record is from RefSeq and is a predicted model, not a curated record.